Long non-coding RNA from Microcebus murinus (gray mouse lemur), 239 nucleotides. RefSeq lists it as uncharacterized. NCBI's taxonomy places the organism in Eukaryota, Metazoa, Chordata, Mammalia, Primates, Cheirogaleidae. The record is from RefSeq and is a predicted model, not a curated record.
AGGCCUAGACUGGCAUCUUAAACAACAGAAAUUUAUCUUCUCACAGUUCUGGAGAUGGAAGUCUGAGAUCGGGGUGACAUCAAGGCCGGUUUCUGGUGUAUACCUAGGAGUGAAAUUGAUGGACAUUUGCCUUGUUUUUUAAAAAUUGACUACUGAUGCUGCUUCCAAUGUCCUCAACUCUUUGACCAACUAUCCUUUCCAAAAGAAUCUCGCCCUGUUGCCCAGGCUAGAGUACCGUG